UGGGGAAUUUUGGACAAUGGGCGAAAGCCUGAUCCAGCAAUGCCGCGUGUGUGAAGAAGGCCUUCGGGUUGUAAAGCACUUUUGUCCGGAAAGAAAUCCUUGGCUCUAAUACAGUCGGGGGAUGACGGUACCGGAAGAAUAAGCACCGGCUAACUACGUGCCAGCAGCCGCGGUAAUACGUAGGGUGCAAGCGUUAAUCGGAAUUACUGGGCGUAAAGCGUGCGCAGGCGGUUUGCUAAGACCGAUGUGAAAUCCCCGGGCUCAACCUGGGAACUGCAUUGGUGACUGGCAGGCUAGAGUAUGGCAGAGGGGGGUAGAAUUCCACGUGUAGCAGUGAAAUGCGUAGAGAUGUGGAGGAAUACCGAUGGCGAAGGCAGCCCCCUGGGCCAAUACUGACGCUCAUGCACGAAAGCGUGGGGAGCAAACAGGAUUAGAUACCCUGGUAGUCCACGCCCUAAACGAUGUCAACUAGUUGUUGGGGACUUCAUUUUCCUUAGUAACGUAGCUAACGCGCGAAGUUGACCGCCUGGGGAGUACGGUCGCAAGAUUAAAACUUAAAGGAAUUGACGGGGUCAUAGCUGUUUCCU
This 587-nucleotide ribosomal RNA is filed under the name uncultured bacterium. Its description in RNAcentral is "partial 16S ribosomal RNA". It matches the Rfam family "Bacterial small subunit ribosomal RNA", at positions 355 to 1375 of the family's 1533-position model. The record is from RNAcentral.